GAACGGGACGCCAUAGAGGGUGAGAGCCCCGUCCGGUCGUACACCUAGCCUCUGUGAAACUCCUUCGACGAGUCGAGUAGUUUGGGAAUGCUGCUCUAAAUGGGAGGUAUACGUCUUCUAAAGCUAAAUACCGGCCAGAGACCGAUAGCGCACAAGUAGAGUGAUCGAAAGAUGAAAAGCACUUUGAAAAGAGGGUUAAAUAGUACGUGAAAUUGCUGAAAGGGAAGCGCUUAUGACCAGACUUGGGCUCGGUGAAUCAUCCGGCGUUCUCGCCGGUGCACUUUGCCGUCCCAGGCCAGCAUCAGUUCGCGCCGGGGGAUAAAGGUUUCGGGAAUGUAGCUCCCUCGGGAGUGUUAUAGCCCGUUGCGUAAUACCCUGGCGUGGACUGAGGUCCGCGCUCUGCAAGGAUGCUGGCGUAAUGGUCAUCAGUGACCCGUCUUGAAACACGGACCAAGGAGUCGUCUUCGUAUGCGAGUGUUCGGGUGUCAAACCCCUACGCGUAAUGAAAGUGAACGUAGGAGAGAGCUUCGGCGCAUCUCCGACCGAUCCUGAUGUUCUCGGAUGGAUUUGAGUAAGAGCAUACGGGGCCGGACCCGAAAGAAGGUGAACUAUGCCUGUAUAGGGUGAAGCCAGAGGAAACUCUGGUGGAGGCUCGCAGCGGUUCUGACGUGCAAAUCGAUCGUCAAAUAUGGGCAUGGGGGCGAAAGACUAAUCGAACCUUCUAGUAGCUGGUUUCCGCCGAAGUUUCCCUCAGGAUAGCAGUGUUGAACUCAGUUUUAUGAGGUAAAGCGAAUGAUUAGGGACCCGGGGGCGCUUUUUAGCCUUCAUCCAUUCUCAAACUUUAAAUAUGUAAGAAGCCCUUGUUGCUUAGUUGAACGUGGGCAUUCGAAUGUAUCAACACUAGUGGGCCAUUUUUGGUAAGCAGAACUGGCGAUGCGGGAUGAACCGAACGCGAGGUUAAGGUGCCAGAGUAGACGCUCAUCAGACACCACAAAAGGUGUUAGUACAUUUUGACAUUUGGACGGUGGCCAUGGAAGUCGGAAUCCGCUAAGGACUGUGUAACAACUCACCAAACGAAUGUACUAGCCCUGAAAAUGGAUGGCGCUCAAGCGUCUCACCCAUACCUCGCCCUCAGGGUAGAAACGAUGCCCUGAGGAGUAGGCGGAC
Molecule: ribosomal RNA, 1167 nt
Filed under: Acremonium sclerotigenum
Lineage: Eukaryota; Fungi; Ascomycota; Sordariomycetes; Hypocreales; Bionectriaceae
Description: eukaryotic LSU rRNA
Rfam family: Eukaryotic large subunit ribosomal RNA
Source: RNAcentral